This 741-nucleotide ribosomal RNA is filed under the name Triticum aestivum (bread wheat). RNAcentral's name for it is "partial small subunit ribosomal RNA". Lineage: Eukaryota; Viridiplantae; Streptophyta; Magnoliopsida; Poales; Poaceae. The record is from RNAcentral.
AUGGCCGGCUCCGGCGGCUCUCCCGACGCCGACGAUCCCAAUUGCGGCGGAGCUGGGGCUGAGCCCUCCAGGACUCCUCAAGAAUCCGACGACCGCUACUCCGCGCCCGGCUCCCCUCUCAGCACUCGCCCGUCCGGUCAGCCCCCGGGGACUUCGGUCGUCGCCAACGAGGGCUCCGCCUCGUCCUCCGCCUGGGGAUCUGAUGACGAAGACGAGCCCGCAGGCAGGUACAAGAACCCCGCCGCCGCUUCCUUCCUCUCGGGACCGUCGAGCAGCACCAUGGGUGCGUCCUCCUCCGCCUCCUCCUUCUCCUCGGACAGCUGGAUCGGCAGCGACCGUACGUGCGGCGGCGCCUCGACCUCCAGCUCUCUGGACGCCUCCAACUACAGGGAUCUCUACAGGGAUCCACCCUCUGAGUGGAUGUAUAAUCAGAUUCUGGAAGCUCCGUUUUGGAGUCACGAGGCAUCUGAUGCUGUGAGGGCUUCUUGGAGAGACGAGUAUGAAGCUUGUGAUGAUUUUUCUAUGGUUUUGCAGACAUCACAAAAUGGCUGCAAAAAAAUUCUUCAAAAGGAACCUUUAUCAUCUCUACCGCAUGAGUUUGAAAACGAAAUUAUGAAAGAUAAGGCAAAAAAGCUUUCGGCUAAUUACUCUGAAUAUCGGAAGGUACCUGGAGACGGGAGUUGCUUUUACAGAUCGUUCAUAUACUCAUACCUGGAGCAGCUUGUGAAAGUAUCUCACUAG